Perognathus longimembris pacificus (Pacific pocket mouse) is the source of this 2090-nucleotide RNA transcript. It is a transcript of the gene named zona pellucida binding protein, with no coding region annotated. The transcript has 10 exons. NCBI's taxonomy places the organism in Eukaryota, Metazoa, Chordata, Mammalia, Rodentia, Heteromyidae. The record is from RefSeq and is a predicted model, not a curated record.
UGCAGUCCUGGCUUUUUUGAAAAAUGUUUUGUAUGAACUGAGGUCAUCAGAAGACCUACGCUGAGUAUUCUUGAAGAGCCAUUCAAACAGGAAAGCUGCAGGUUUGAGGCGAAGGUUCUCCAAGCUCCAGAAUCUUGGCCCUCACUUAUGCUCUCGAAGAUUCUCAAGGCACUAGGUGUUGACCACCGAGAGAUCCGCUUGACGCUGGGAGAAGGACGCAAACCUCCUCAGACCCAGGCCCCAGUCCACAGCCAGGCCCACAGGCGGCACACCUCUACUUCAUCCUGCAGCCCUGCCGGAAGUGAGGUGCGUCCGUCAGGUCCGUCCUUCCGGUCCACCGCCCGCCAACUUCCGGCGGCAGGUGGGCGCGCGCCUGGCAACGACCUUCUGCGCCGAGCGUCCGCAUAGCGUCGGCAGGUGGCGGCGGCGUGGGCGUGUGGAUGGAGGCCUCGGCCCCCGGCCGGGGGUGGCGGGGCUGGCGGCGGGCCCGCGUCGCAGGCUCCUGGGUCACCCCGGCCGCCACCCUCCUCCUCCUGUCCGCCUUCCUCGUGAGGUCGUCCCUGUCAGUUGAAUAUUUUGUUCGGUUACCAAGAGGUUUUCGCUUGACCCAGGAAACAGUGAAAAUAGUGGGAUCACCAAAUAAUCCAGAAGAAAUGUCUCACAGCUCGGGAGGCAGUGUCCAAAGUAGGGGCUUGACAGAGCUGAUUCCUCUGAAGGCCAUGAGGGAAGGAGCCUGUUGCAGUUGGCAUCUUCUCCCUACAGUGAGUGUAUAUGUCAUGCUCCAUCAAAAGAGUCCACAUGUGCUAUGUGUAACCAAGCGACUACGAAAUGCUGAACUGAUAGACCCAUCAUUCCAAUGGCAUGGGCCAAAAGGAAAAAUUAUUUCAGAAAACAGCACUGCACAAGUAACAUCCACAGGAAGCCUUGUAUUCCAGAACUUUGAUGAGAGUAUGAGUGGAGUUUACACAUGUUUCCUGGAGUAUAAACCUACUGUGGAAGAAAUUGUUAAAAGUCUUGAACUAAAAUAUAUUGUAUAUGCUUUUCGUGAACCUCAUUUUUAUUACCAGUUCACAGUACGAUAUCAUGCUGCUCCCUGCAAUAGUAUCUAUAAUAUUUCUUUUGAGAAGAAGCUUCUUCAGAUUUUAAGCAAGCUAGUUCUUGACCUUUCAUGUGAAAUUUCUUUACUUAAGUCUGAAUGCCAUCGUGUUAAAAUGCAAAAAGCUGGUUUGCAAAAUGAAUUGUUUUUUACGUUUUCAAUUUCAUCUCUAGACACUGAAAAAGGACCCAAGCCAUGUACAGACCAUCAGUGUGAAUCUUCCAGAAGACUAUCUAAGGCUAAAACUCUCAUAGAAAGAUUUUUUAAUCAACAAGUAGAAGCUAUUGGCAGACGUUCAGAACCAUUGCCUGAAAUAUACUAUAUUGAAGGUACCCUCCAAAUGGUUUGGAUCAAUCGCUGCUUUCCAGGGUAUGGAAUGAAUGUCCUGAAGCAUCCAAAAUGUCCUGAGUGCUGUGGCACUGUCUAAUUACAGCCUCAAUGGGGGUCUGGGCUUCAGCAUAACAACAUUAACAUCACAAGUGAUCUGCAGCCCUGGAUCUUAUAAUCCCCGUGAUGGAACUCACUGCCUUCAGUGCAACAGCAGCCUGGUGUAUGGAGCAAAAGCCUGUGUAUAGCAUUAAUCUUUUGUCAUUAAGUGGUUUAUUAAACACAAAAGUAUAUUUUGAAAUAUUAAAAUAUAAUGUCAGUAUUAUGCCAAAAUUAAAUAAUCAGAUUGUACCAAAAAAUGGCGUCAUCAUUUUAAUCAGACACUGUAUGAACAUCUUGUCAUCUUUAUCCUUUCAUCCCAGACCCACAUAUGACUCAAAAAUGUCUCUUGUAUCAUUGCAUAUUAAUGAUAGUUUCAAAUAUAUUGAAUUAAAUUAGCUCAAUAGCUUUAUCAGGAAUUUUAAAAUAUAUUCAAUUUAACUUCAUAUAUUCACCAGAUUUAGGACACUGUCCUUUUAUAACAAUUUUCAUUUUGCCUUUGAUUCAAUUUUAUAAAAUUUAGUUUUAUUUUAUCUUGACCUUUCAAAACUAGUUUUAAGGUUUUAAA